GACGAACGCUGGCGGCGUGCCUAAUACAUGCAAGUUGAGCGCUGAAGGUUGGUACUUGUACCAACUGGAUGAGCAGCGAACGGGUGAGUAACGCGUGGGGAAUCUGCCUUUGAGCGGGGGACAACAUUUGGAAACGAAUGCUAAUACCGCAUAAAAACUUUAAACACAAGUUUUAAGUUUGAAAGAUGCAAUUGCAUCACUCAAAGAUGAUCCCGCGUUGUAUUAGCUAGUUGGUGAGGUAAAGGCUCACCAAGGCGAUGAUACGUAGCCGACCUGAGAGGGUGAUCGGCCACAUUGGGACUGAGACACGGCCCAAACUCCUGCGGGAGGCAGCAGUAGGGAAUCUUCGGCAAUGGACGAAAGUCUGACCGAGCAACGCCGCGUGAGUGAAGAAGGUUUUCGGAUCGUAAAACUCUGUUGGUAGAGAAGAACGUUGGUGAGAGUGGAAAGCUCAUCAAGUGACGGUAACUACCCAGAAAGGGACGGCUAACUACGUG
RNAcentral lists this ribosomal RNA (497 nucleotides) under uncultured bacterium. RNAcentral's name for it is "partial 16S ribosomal RNA". It matches the Rfam family "Bacterial small subunit ribosomal RNA", at positions 28 to 507 of the family's 1533-position model. The record is from RNAcentral.